CGGUUGAUCCUGCCGGACCCCACCGCUAUCGGGAUGGGACUAAGACAUGCUAGUCGAGCGCCUCCCAAGCCUAAUGAGUUGGAGAGGCGCGGCGGACAGCUCAGUAACACGUGGCUAACCUACCCUCGGGACGGGGAUACCCCCGGGAAACUGGGGCUAAUCCCCGAUAGGUGAAAAUUCUUGGAAUAGAUUUUCACCGAAAAGGCGCUUAAAGCAUGCUUUUAAGCGCCGCCCAAGGAGGGAGCCGCGGCCGAUCAGGUUGUUGGUGAGGUAACGGCUCACCAAGCCUUUAACCGGUACGGGCCGUGAGAGCGGGAGCCCGGAGAUGGGCACUGAGACAAGGGCCCAGGCCCUACGGGGCGCAGCAGUCGCGAAAACUCCGCAAUACACGAAAGUGUGACGGGGCCAUCCCGAGUGCCAUCCGCUGAGGAUGGCUUUUCCCCGGUGUAAAAAGCCGGGGGAAUAAGGAGAGGGCAAGCCUGGUGUCAGCCGCCGCGGUAACACCAGCUCUCCGAGUGGUGGGGACGCUUAUUGGGCCUAAAGCGUCCGUAGCCGGCCGGACAAGUCCCCCGUUAAAUCCAACGAUCCAAUCGUUGGGCUGCGGGGGAUACUGUCCGGCUAGGAGGCGGUAGAGGCCGACGGUAUUCCCGGGGUAGGGGUGAAAUCCUAUAAUCCCGGGAAGACCACCAGUGGCGAAGGCUGUCGGCCAGAACGCGCUCGACGGUGAGGGACGAAAGCUGGGGGAGCGAACCGGAUUAGAUACCCGGGUAGUCCCAGCUGUAAACGAUGCGGGCUAGGUGUUGAAGUGGCUACGAGCCACUUCAGUGCCGCAGGGAAGCCAUUAAGCCCGCCGCCUGGGGAGUACGGCCGCAAGGCUGAAACUUAAAGGAAUUGGCGGGGGAGCAC
This 906-nucleotide ribosomal RNA is filed under the name uncultured archaeon. RNAcentral's name for it is "bacterial SSU rRNA". It matches the Rfam family "Archaeal small subunit ribosomal RNA", at positions 5 to 879 of the family's 1478-position model. The record is from RNAcentral.